This 497-nucleotide ribosomal RNA is filed under the name uncultured bacterium. RNAcentral's name for it is "partial 16S ribosomal RNA". It matches the Rfam family "Bacterial small subunit ribosomal RNA", at positions 28 to 507 of the family's 1533-position model. The record is from RNAcentral.
GAUGAACGCUGGCGGUGUGCCUAAUACAUGCAAGUCGAGCGAAAAGACGAGGAGCUCGCUCUCUUGCCGUUAGCGGCGGACGGGUGAGUAACACGUGGAUAACCUACCUAUAUUUCUGGGAUAACUACGGGAAAAAGGUGCCACUAAUAGAUAAUAUAACCUACCGCAUGGUUCAAUGGAGCAAGACAGCUUUCCUGUCUCUUUUAGAUGGAUCCGUGUCGCAUUAGCUAGUUGGUAAGGUAACGGCUUACCAAGGCGACGAUGCGUAGCUGACCUGAGAGGAUGAUCAGCCACACUGGAACUGAGACACGGUCCAGACUCCUACGGGAGGCAGCAGUGGGGAAUCUUCCACAAUGGGCGAAAGCCUGACGGAGCAACACCGCGUGAGUGAAGAAGGUCUUCGGGUCGUAAAGCUCUGUUAUUAGGAAAGAACAAAUGUGUAUGAAACUAUGCACGUCUUGACGGUACCUAAUCAGAAAGCAACGGCUAACUACGUG